Molecule: ribosomal RNA, 468 nt
Filed under: uncultured bacterium
Lineage: Bacteria
Description: partial 16S ribosomal RNA
Rfam family: Bacterial small subunit ribosomal RNA
Source: RNAcentral
GACGAACGCUGGCGGCGUGCUUAACACAUGCAAGUCGAACGGAAAGGCCCUGCUUUGGUGGGGUGCUCGAGGGGAGAACGGGUGAGUAACACGUGAGUAACCUGCCAUUGACUUUGGGAUAACUUCAGGAAACUGGGGCUAAUACCGGAUAGGAGCUCCUGCUGCAUGGUGGGGGCUGGAAAGUUUCGGCGGUUGGGGAUGGACUCGCGGCUUAUCAGCUUGUUGGUGGGGUAGUGGCUUAGCAAGGCUUUGACGGGUAGCCGGCCUGGUCGGGUGAGCUGCCACGUCGGGCCGGGACUGAGACCCGGCCUCGUACGCUACGCAGCAGUGGGGUAUAUUGCAUUGUGGGCUGGACCAUGAUCUAGUCACGCCGCGCGGCGUAUGUCGGCCUGCGGUUUGUAUUGCGCUUUUGCCUGUCACGAGGCGUGAGUGACGGUAACGGGUAAAGAAGCACCGGCUAACUACGUG